Molecule: small nuclear RNA, 105 nt
Organism: Manis pentadactyla (Chinese pangolin)
Lineage: Eukaryota; Metazoa; Chordata; Mammalia; Pholidota; Manidae
Source: RefSeq, a predicted model, not a curated record
GCUCGCUUUGACAGUGCAUACAUUAAAACUGAAGCAAUACAGAGAAAAUUGGCCAGGUUCCUGAGCAAAAAUGGUUUGGGAAUUCAUGAGGCACUUACAUAUUUU